GGAAAGGCGCGCGAUACAGGGUGACAGCCCCGUACACAAAAAUGCACAUGCUGUGAGCUCGAUGAGUAGGGCGGGACACGUGGUAUCCUGUCUGAAUAUGGGGGGACCAUCCUCCAAGGCUAAAUACUCCUGACUGACCGAUAGUGAACCAGUACCGUGAGGGAAAGGCGAAAAGAACCCCGGCGAGGGGAGUGAAAAAGAACCUGAAACCGUGUACGUACAAGCAGUGGGAGCACGCUUAGGCGUGUGACUGCGUACCUUUUGUAUAAUGGGUCAGCGACUUAUAUUCUGUAGCAAGGUUAACCGAAUAGGGGAGCCGAAGGGAAACCGAGUCUUAACUGGGCGUUAAGUUGCAGGGUAUAGACCCGAAACCCGGUGAUCUAGCCAUGGGCAGGUUGAAGGUUGGGUAACACUAACUGGAGGACCGAACCGACUAAUGUUGAAAAAUUAGCGGAUGACUUGUGGCUGGGGGUGAAAGGCCAAUCAAACCGGGAGAUAGCUGGUUCUCCCCGAAAGCUAUUUAGGUAGCGCCUCGUGAAUUCAUCUCCGGGGGUAGAGCACUGUUUCGGCAAGGGGGUCAUCCCGACUUACCAACCCGAUGCAAACUGCGAAUACCGGAGAAUGUUAUCACGGGAGACACACGGCGGGUGCUAACGUCCGUCGUGAAGAGGGAAACAACCCAGACCGCCAGCUAAGGUCCCAAAGUCAUGGUUAAGUGGGAAACGAUGUGGGAAGGCCCAGACAGCCAGGAUGUUGGCUUAGAAGCAGCCAUCAUUUAAAGAAAGCGUAAUAGCUCACUGGUCGAGUCGGCCUGCGCGGAAGAUGUAACGGGGCUAAACCAUGCACCGAAGCUGCGGCAGCGACGCUGAUGCGUUGUUGGGUAGGGGAGCGUUCUGUAAGCCUGUGAAGGUGUGCUGUGAGGCAUGCUGGAGGUAUCAGAAGUGCGAAUGCUGACAUAAGUAACGAUAAAGCGGGUGAAAAGCCCGCUCGCCGGAAGACCAAGGGUUCCUGUCCAACGUUAAUCGGGGCAGGGUGAGUCGACCCCUAAGGCGAGGCCGAAAGGCGUAGUCGAUGGGAAACAGGUUAAUAUUCCUGUACUUGGUGUUACUGCGAAGGGGGGACGGAGAAGGCUAUGUUGGCCGGGCGACGGUUGUCCCGGUUUAAGCGUGUAGGCUGGUUUUCCAGGCAAAUCCGGAAAAUCAAGGCUGAGGCGUGAUGACGAGGCACUACGGUGCUGAAGCAACAAAUGCCCUGCUUCCAGGAAAAGCCUCUAAGCAUCAGGUAACAUCAAAUCGUACCCCAAACCGACACAGGUGGUCAGGUAGAGAAUACCAAGGCGCUUGAGAGAACUCGGGUGAAGGAACUAGGCAAAAUGGUGCCGUAACUUCGGGAGAAGGCACGCUGAUAUG
RNAcentral lists this ribosomal RNA (1409 nucleotides) under Escherichia coli. RNAcentral describes it as "partial 23S ribosomal RNA". It matches the Rfam family "Bacterial large subunit ribosomal RNA", at positions 344 to 1758 of the family's 2925-position model. The record is from RNAcentral. Lineage: Bacteria; Pseudomonadati; Pseudomonadota; Gammaproteobacteria; Enterobacterales; Enterobacteriaceae.